GCGGGCGUAGUUCAGUGGUAGAACGUUAGCUUCCCAAGCUAAAUGUCGAGAGUUCGAAUCUCUUCGCCCGCU
RNAcentral lists this transfer RNA (72 nucleotides) under Caldilineaceae bacterium. RNAcentral describes it as "tRNA-Gly". It matches the Rfam family "tRNA". From Rfam's summary of the family: Transfer RNA (tRNA) molecules are approximately 80 nucleotides in length. Their secondary structure includes four short double-helical elements and three loops (D, anti-codon, and T loops). The record is from RNAcentral. Lineage: Bacteria; Bacillati; Chloroflexota; Caldilineae; Caldilineales; Caldilineaceae.